Macadamia integrifolia is the source of this 744-nucleotide long non-coding RNA. RefSeq lists it as uncharacterized. The transcript is spliced from 3 exons. Lineage: Eukaryota; Viridiplantae; Streptophyta; Magnoliopsida; Proteales; Proteaceae. The record is from RefSeq and is a predicted model, not a curated record.
AUUCUACACUUUCAUCCCCGACCUCCUGAUUGCGAAACCCACUUUCCCUCCCUGCAACAAUCAUGUUUUUUUUUUUUCUUUGAUAACCUCUUUCUCUCUCAGAGAUCUUCUACUCUUCCUUUUUAAUUGGUAUGUACAUCGUCGGCCGUAACUGCGCCAUCGAUUAUUUCCGGCGUCGGUUGUUUCCUUACAUAAUAGCCGCCAUAGUUAUCUCUAGUCUCACUGAAUCCUCCCAAAACCCAAAACUCAAAACUGAAAAACAAAAGAAGAAGAAAGAAUCCGUCGACGAGUCAGUUUUCCGACGAUCGAAGACGCGUCACUCGUGGUGUGCUCGACUAUGAACAUGCACAUAAUCCUUCGAUUGUUUUUCAUCUAGUUAGUGUGUCUCUAUAAGAUCAUGGAUGAUCAUGUGGGGAGGCAUGAUUUGGUUUCAUGCAAUGCAAUGAAUAAAAUAAUGCUUCAAAGGAGUCUCCCAGAUCCAAACAAUACAGGGUUGACACACUGAAAGAAUGGAUUAGCAAGUUGGGGAAAAAAAGCUGAUAGUUUCACACAUGGAGUUCGUGGAUGAGAUUCCUUCAGAUGGAAAUAAACCCUCUAAACAUGUUGUGUGGAGGGAUCUCCCUGUUUUUUGCCUUGUUUUUCUUAUUUGUUGGAAUCAUAAUUGGAUAUUGUAUUCCCCACUGAAUCUUCUAUGUAACACUUGACGAUUUAAGUUUAUGAAUUAGUAUCUUAUUUCUUUAUUAA